RNAcentral lists this ribosomal RNA (447 nucleotides) under uncultured bacterium. Its description in RNAcentral is "bacterial SSU rRNA". It matches the Rfam family "Bacterial small subunit ribosomal RNA", at positions 330 to 793 of the family's 1533-position model. The record is from RNAcentral.
CCCAGACUCCUACGGGAGGCAGCAGUGGGGGAUAUUGCACAAUGGGGGAAACCCUGAUGCAGCGACGCCGCGUGAGUGAAGAAGUAUUUCGGUAUGUAAAGCUCUAUCAGCAGGGAAGAAGGAGGACGGUACCUGACUAAGAAGCCCCGGCUAACUACGUGCCAGCAGCCGCGGUAAUACGUAGGGGGCAAGCGUUAUCCGGAUUUACUGGGUGUAAAGGGGGCGCAGACGGCAGCGCAAGCCAGGAGUGAAAGCCCGGGGCCCAACCCCGGGACUGCUCUUGGAACUGCGCGGCUGGAGUGCAGGAGGGGCAGGCGGAAUUCCUGGUGUAGCGGUGAAAUGCGUAGAUAUCAGGAGGAACACCGGCGGCGAAGGCGGCCUGCUGGACCGCGACUGACGUUGAGGCUCGAAAGCGUGGGGAGCGAACAGGAUUAGAUACCCCGGUAA